AUUAGUCAAUGCUCGCAAGAGUGAACUAGCUAACUGAAAUCCUUGGUGUGUCAUCGAGGAUAACGUAAGGGAAAAUAAUGAUAUUACCUUACUAUUAGUGUCGUCCAAGUGCUCGUGCCAGAAGACUCGGUAAGGCGAGAGACGCAAACGUUAGUCGUCCUGAUCAGGCGUAAAGGGUGUGUAGGCGGGUUUAAGUGUCUAAUUUUUAAGUUUACUAUUUUGAUAAUUAAAUUUCUAUUUGAAUUUUUUCAAUGAAAAAUGUAAAUAUAAAUACAUUUACAAAGAUAGUUAAACUUCCACAAUGCUACGCGCUCCUGCCCUUCGGGUUUGGAACGCAACGCUCCUUCCCUCUGCGAAGCGCGGGGGGAGGCUGCGUAGCAUCGUGCUAACGCAAGGGGAAGUAUAAAAAAUUUAAAUUACAAAAUUUUUAAAAAAAGGAUCAAUUAAAUCUAGAAUCUAAAAGAGGUUAAAACAAUACUUAAGGUAGAGGUAAAAAUCGUAGAUAUUAAGCAGAGUGUUAAGGGCGAAGGCAUUUUUCCACUAAAGAUUGACGCUGAGAAACGAAGGUGAGGGCAGAAAAAAGGAUUAGAGACCCUUGUAUUCCUCACUGUCAACGAUGAAUGGUAGUUACUAGAGAGUUAUGAUCUAGAGACGAUGUUAACACGAAAACCAUUCCGCCUUGUGAGUACGACUGCAAAGUUGAAAACAAAAAAAUUAGUCGGUUUCGGAGCAAACGAAGUGAAGCAUGUUAUUUAAUC
RNAcentral lists this ribosomal RNA (758 nucleotides) under Diplomitoporus sp. Its description in RNAcentral is "partial small subunit ribosomal RNA". It matches the Rfam family "Bacterial small subunit ribosomal RNA", at positions 363 to 951 of the family's 1533-position model. Lineage: Eukaryota; Fungi; Basidiomycota; Agaricomycetes; Polyporales; Climacocystaceae. The record is from RNAcentral.